CUGACAUUUGUAAGGCUGGGAGACCAGAGUGCACAGGGUGCUGCGGCCUCACGCCGUCGCCCCCCCCCCCAAGGCUCCUGGGGCCGCUCUGAAGAAAGCUGGUUGAUUUCCAGUCGGUGCAGGUGCCCGUGACUCCAAGGGCAGCCUCUGGGUUUCACUCACCUCCUUCUGCAUCCUUCACCUUACCCCAGUGUUGUGACAGCACUCUAGGUGGGAUCUGAAUGCUCCCUGGCCCUUGCAGAAGCUUUCUCGCCCUGGUGGGCUCCAGCCAAAGUGUCCUGUAACACAGGACCCUCAGACAGCCGUUAGAGAGACAGCCAGCACGCCUAUGCGUUUGAGACUCAGCCUUUCAACGCACACGCCGAAGUGGAAGCUGCCAGCCUCUGCAUUUUACUGCGUGGAAAUGUAGUUUGUUCCUUUUUCUAUCUUUUGUGUUGUAGGGCUAAACAAGAAAAAAAAAUAUGAAAUCACUUUAAAAAAUCCACUGGACUGUUUUGCUUUGUUCACUGCAGAAGGUCACAAAGGGUUCAGGACAACAGGAUGGGGAUGCUCAUGUGCUUCUCCUGUGAGCAGCAGGGCCAGCUCCCGCUCAAAGGAAGGCUUUAUCUGGAAGCUGGUGACUCUGAUAAAAAUGAGAUGGCAGGAGGCUGGGAGGAGGAGGGAGAGCGUGAUUUAAACGUUUUCACGAAACAUUCAGCGCUGGCUGUAAUUUCACCUGCUCUCCCCCUCUUACCGCUCCCCAUUUCAGAGCAGGAGGGAGGGCAUGCAUGCACACACACCUGGCUGGGUGUGGGGCCACUUUUCCUGUGACUACAAUGAUCUGCCCUGAGAAAUACUUAGGCCAUCUUUAUUAGUGGACCAUCUCUUCUAAAACUAUGACCCAAACACAGGUGUUCCAGAAUCUAAAAGACUGACUUGGUCUCUGAAAAACCAGUCUGUGAUUUAGUAUUUCCGUACGUGAAAGCUCAGCUUAUGGUAUUGUUCCCAAAGCCCAACAUAUUUGUUGACGUGACAGCAAACACAGACAGGUGCCCAAAGUUAAUGUUUCCUCUAUUUCUCUACUCCGUAAGCUCCGUGAUUCACUGCCUUCAAGUGAGAUACUGCAUUUGCUGGUCUGUUAAGUAUACUGAGACUCUUCCAGAACACAGCAAGUCGCCACCCACAGUCAACAGUGGGGGAGCAGUAGUGAGGCUAGUUUAGUUAUCUCCGAAUGUCUAAAGAGAGACUAUUAGUAUGUAGCAGUGCAUGGAAAACACUCAUGAGCCUCUGCAUUGUUAUUAGUUGUUACUUUAUAGUGGGAAAUGACAAAAUAAAGGUAGCUGCCAGUUUUUGAAUGU
Molecule: long non-coding RNA, 1337 nt
Organism: Peromyscus leucopus (white-footed mouse)
Lineage: Eukaryota; Metazoa; Chordata; Mammalia; Rodentia; Cricetidae
Exons: 2
Source: RefSeq, a predicted model, not a curated record